CAUGUAGUUUAUUUUAUUUAUUUGAUCUUAAUAUUUAAGAUGUUAAUUUGAAUAAUUAAAUUUGUUUUAAAUUUAGUAUAUUACUAAUCAUUUUUCUUUUCUUCUUGUGAAUCUAUAAUAACUAUAAAUUAUUUAACAAUUAGUUUUAAUAGUUAAAUAUAAUAGAAAAGAAUUAUAUUUAAAAUUUAGAGUAGUAUUUAAUAAAAUUAAUUUUUAAUCAUACAAAAUUAAAUUGAAAAAAUAUAAUAAAGGAUAAAUAUAGUUUAAGUUUUUUUGAUAUAAACCAAAAAUCGAUAAUAAACAAACCGAC
This 310-nucleotide long non-coding RNA is filed under the name Brassica napus (rape). RNAcentral's name for it is "long non-coding RNA (BNAP_LNC003336)". The record is from RNAcentral. Lineage: Eukaryota; Viridiplantae; Streptophyta; Magnoliopsida; Brassicales; Brassicaceae.